AUAUAAUGUGUACUGUGGCAGAACAUUUAAAACAAAGAGGAGACUUUUUAUAGCAGACGUGCCAGGCAUACCAGAGAGACACAGCAUGGACAACGAGCCUGUUUCGUGGGGCAGGGCUAAACAAGGCAAGAUAGAACCUCGGCGGGCAUUAGGAGGUUGGAGACAGGGUUGCAAGUCUCUGAGGCCCAGACGGGGUUCCUGCGCAGAGAUCCAGGCAGGUAAUCCACAUUCCUGCAU
This is a long non-coding RNA of Vombatus ursinus (common wombat), 237 nucleotides long. Lineage: Eukaryota; Metazoa; Chordata; Mammalia; Diprotodontia; Vombatidae. The record is from Ensembl.